RNAcentral lists this long non-coding RNA (704 nucleotides) under Pan troglodytes (chimpanzee). RNAcentral's name for it is "lncRNA (ENSPTRG00000054653.1)". Lineage: Eukaryota; Metazoa; Chordata; Mammalia; Primates; Hominidae. The record is from RNAcentral.
CUGGCUGGAGCUCAGGGUGGCAGGCUAAACCGGACUGUGAGCAGUUGGAGUAGCAGUGAGGAUGUGACUCCAAGGGGGACUUCUUUGCUGGCACUGUGAGCAAGGUUUCACCAGCAGGAGCUGGUGACAAGGAUCAUUGCUGUGUCUUUUAUGCUGUUGAACAGAUGAAUAAUACAGAGGAAAGCCCACGUGGACUGAGGACAUACACAUGGAGCAUGGAGGUGACAAGACCACUUCUUCAGGAAUGACCAGAAUAGCAUAAAAGAUCAAUGAAAGCAUUGCUAAAAAAGGAAGACUGAAAUCUCAACCUUUCAGGGAGUAAUUUAUCAUUUGGAUGAGCCUAAUGAGAAAAGUAGUGCAGUGAAUGAUGUGACAAUAUGAAACAACAAAAUAGUGAAUGAUUAACGAGCGACAAAUUGAGAGGGAAAAAAAAGGAUAACGCUUUCAUUAUGGUGCAAAAGAGAAUUUGACAAACUCAUCCAAGAAAGCAACCACUUUUUCCUCCGUCUUAGUUGAACGCCUUGAAAAACGAAUAAUCAUACUGCUUUCAAGGAAUUUCGUAAGUGUAAAAUAGUUAAACUUCUAUAGAAUUUCAAUAAUUAAGGGUUACAAAUAUAUUUAAAGGAUUUUGAAGCUUUAAUAAUUAAAACUUUAUAAAAAUUAUGCUGCAAUUAUUCAGGGCAAAUCAAAAUGAGAAAAAAACC